Molecule: ribosomal RNA, 520 nt
Filed under: uncultured Glomus
Lineage: Eukaryota; Fungi; Glomeromycota; Glomeromycetes; Glomerales; Glomeraceae
Description: SSU rRNA
Rfam family: Eukaryotic small subunit ribosomal RNA
Source: RNAcentral
AGCAGCCGCGGUAAUUCCAGCUCCAAUAGCGUAUAUUAAAGUUGUUGCAAGUUAAAAAGCUCGUAGUUGAAUUUCGGGAUCAAAGGAUCGGUCAUGCCUUGGUAUGUACUGGUUUUAUUGGUUCUCACCUUCUAAAGAACCAUAAUGUCAUUCAUUUGAUGUUAUGGGGAAUUAGGACUGUUACCUUGAAAAAAUUAGAGUGUUUAAAGCAGGCUUACGCUUGAAUACAUUAGCAUGGAAUAAUGAAAUAGGACGUUUGAUUCUAUUUUGUUGGUUUCUAGGAUCGACGUAAUGAUUAAUAGGGAUAGUUGGGGGCAUUAGUAUUCAAUUGUCAGAGGUGAAAUUCUUGGAUUUAUUGAAGACUAACUACUGCGAAAGCAUUUGCCAAGGAUGUUUUCAUUAAUCAAGAACGAAAGUUAGGGGAUCGAAGACGAUCAGAUACCGUCGUAGUCCUAACCAUAAACUAUGCCGACUAGGGAUCGGAUGAUGUUAAUUUUUAAUGACUCAUUCGGCGCCUUAA